UAACACCUGAAUUAUAUUACGAGAAUACAACAGCAUAUACCAUAGACAGUGACAGAAUCCAUUCACGCAGCAUUCUUUUUUCUCUGUUUUGUCACUCAUCGAAAACAAUAAAGCGAAGAGGGCAGUAUGGGUUUCGCUGAUGCAUCAACCUACCUGCUAAUCACUUUUACUCUCAAUAAAUUGCCAACAUGAGAUUCCGCAGGAAUUAAAAGGUUUAAUUCAACGUGCUACUCACGUGCCACCUAGUGCCAACCGAAGAUAACUUUCCCGGUCUUACGGCGGGACUGAUACACGUUCCAUUCACGAUCCGUGAUUAACAAUAGACCAUACGAUUUUUCUAUUGUAGCGUUUUUCAUAUGUCUGGGAAUGGCUGAAAAGAGUGACGCAAAAGUCAGGACAGUUUGAAAAAUGAUUGGAAUAAUGACCACACUGGCUGGAUACAUGGAAAGGAAAGGCUAUAAACUCCAAAUGGAGGAAAUUAGGUGUCCACAUGAAUUAUAAACGGUGGAUUAAUUGGACGACCAAACCCACUCUUUUUUCACGUUCUCUGCAGUUAACCAUCACAAAAUUGUUUUUAUUCUGUUUUAUAUAAAUCAGGCAGAAAUGUAAAUAAAUUCUCGUCGUGACCCUCGAA
This 634-nucleotide long non-coding RNA is filed under the name Daphnia magna. RNAcentral's name for it is "uncharacterized LOC123472489". Lineage: Eukaryota; Metazoa; Arthropoda; Branchiopoda; Diplostraca; Daphniidae. The record is from RNAcentral.